RNAcentral lists this ribosomal RNA (585 nucleotides) under Bacillus sp. CH365_12T. RNAcentral describes it as "bacterial SSU rRNA". It matches the Rfam family "Bacterial small subunit ribosomal RNA", at positions 57 to 625 of the family's 1533-position model. Lineage: Bacteria; Bacillati; Bacillota; Bacilli; Caryophanales; Bacillaceae. The record is from RNAcentral.
GCAGUCGAGCGGACUGAUGGGAGCUUGCUCCCUGAAGUCAGCGGCGGACGGGUGAGUAACACGUGGGUAACCUGCCUGUAAGACUGGGAUAACUCCGGGAAACCGGGGCUAAUACCGGAUAGUUCUUUUCCUCGCAUGAGGAAAAGUGGAAAGGCGGCUUCGGCUGCCACUUACAGAUGGACCCGCGGCGCAUUAGCUAGUUGGUGAGGUAACGGCUCACCAAGGCAACGAUGCGUAGCCGACCUGAGAGGGUGAUCGGCCACACUGGGACUGAGACACGGCCCAGACUCCUACGGGAGGCAGCAGUAGGGAAUCUUCCGCAAUGGACGAAAGUCUGACGGAGCAACGCCGCGUGAGUGAUGAAGGUUUUCGGAUCGUAAAGCUCUGUUGUUAGGGAAGAACAAGUGCCGUUCGAAUAGGGCGGCACCUUGACGGUGCCUAACCAGAAAGCCACGGCUAACUACGUGCCAGCAGCCGCGGUAAUACGUAGGUGGCAAGCGUUGUCCGGAAUUAUUGGGCGUAAAGCGCGCGCAGGCGGUCUCUUAAGUCUGAUGUGAAAGCCCACGGCUCAACCGUGGAGGGUCA